UUUCCUUCCUCUCUUCCUCCUCCUGGCUCCCAACUUGUUUCUUCUUUCUUAUGUGCCAGUUGCUGUGCUGAGGAUAUGAAGCUAAAUAAGCCUCUCUCCUUUUCCUCAUGAAGCUCAAAAGCUUAGAUAGGAAGCAAAUAAAUAUAAUAUAGCAUGAUAAUUGCAAGAAUAUUAACAUGUCCAAAAGUUAAAGAGAGAAAGCAUAAAGAAGAAAGUGAUGAGCUCUGAGGGGUUGAGGCUUUUGCUCUCUCUUAAAUUGAUUGCUAUUUAGCACCCAUCAAAAGCUCUGCAGAGGGGACCAUCAUUAACGGCAUUUACGAAGACAUCCACUUAUUCCAACAGGAGGAAGACCAACGCUUCUUAUCAUAAACACAAGUUCCUGCUAUACACAACACAUCCUUGAAUUCUAGGGAAGCCAAGAUGUACAUGAAAUGACUGCAGGUCUUAAAGGUCUUGAAUCUAAUUGUGGCACUGGGGCAUAUGUAGAGAUAAAUAUCACGUAGCAUAUGCUAAGGUGAUUUCGAAGAUCUAUUCUAUCUUAAGACACUGUAAGUCUAAUUAUUAAAUGAGCAAUACAGACAUUUA
Molecule: long non-coding RNA, 585 nt
Filed under: Homo sapiens (human)
Lineage: Eukaryota; Metazoa; Chordata; Mammalia; Primates; Hominidae
Description: HSALNT0319571
Source: RNAcentral